This 404-nucleotide ribosomal RNA is filed under the name uncultured bacterium. RNAcentral describes it as "bacterial SSU rRNA". It matches the Rfam family "Bacterial small subunit ribosomal RNA", at positions 355 to 771 of the family's 1533-position model. The record is from RNAcentral.
UGGGGAAUAUUGGACAAUGGGGGAAACCCUGAUCCAGCGACGCCGCGUGAGGGAUGACGGCCUUCGGGUUGUAAACCUCUUUCAGCAGGGACGAAGCGCAAGUGACGGUACCUGCAGAAGAAGCACCGGCCAACUACGUGCCAGCAGCCGCGGUAAUACGUAGGGUGCGAGCGUUGUCCGGAAUUAUUGGGCGUAAAGGGCUCGUAGGCGGUCUGUCACGUCGGGAGUGAAAACACGGGGCUUAACUCCGUGCCUGCUUCCGAUACGGGCUGACUAGAGGUAUGCAGGGGAGAACGGAAUUCCUGGUGUAGCGGUGAAAUGCGCAGAUAUCAGGAGGAACACCGGUGGCGAAGGCGGUUCUCUGGGCAUUACCUGACGCUGAGGAGCGAAAGUGUGGGGAGCGA